Physella acuta is the source of this 1369-nucleotide RNA transcript. RefSeq lists it as uncharacterized. The record is from RefSeq and is a predicted model, not a curated record. NCBI's taxonomy places the organism in Eukaryota, Metazoa, Mollusca, Gastropoda, Physidae.
CUAAAUAUGAGUGGUCACUUGCAAACCUCAACUUUGGCCAGAGUUCUGAUAAUUGUGCUGGUCAUCUUUCAUGACGUCAGCGGUCACGGUCGGCUGAUUGAGCCCCCGUCCCGAGCCUCGAUGUGGCGUCUGGGGUAUGACACGCCCCCAAAUUAUGACGACAAUCAGCUGUUCUGUGGGGGUGUGGGGAUCCAGUACGGCCAGAACAACGGCAAGUGUGGGGUCUGUGGCGACCCCUGGAACGGCCGCCGGGAGCACGAGGCGGGGGGCAUCUACGCCAACGGGAUCAUCGUGAGAAAGUACGAGGUGGGCGAGCCCAUCAAGGUUAAGAUCGAGCUGACCGCCAACCACAAGGGCUACUUCGAGUUCCACAUCUGCCCCACCGACAACCCGUUCCAGAAGAUCACAGAAACCUGCCUGAGGAAGCACCCGAUGACCGUGGUCACCACUGGCAAGGUGCGGUACCAGGUGCCGGAGGGUGAGUACUACUCUCAGCAAACCUACGAGCUGUACCUCCUCCCACCGAAGAACCUCCGGUGCAAGGCGUGCAUGCUGCAGUGGAAGUACAACGCCGGAAACAGCUGGGGAACGGACAAGAACGGCGUCAGCUGUAUCGGAUGCGGGGACCAGGAGCAGUUCUACGGCUGCGCGGACAUCGCUAUAGGGCACGAUGACGUCGUACUGGGCAAGCCUGCGGUCAAGCACCCGUGGUACUUCCAGGAGGAGACGGACAUUGAGUGGCACAUCGGGGUGGUCCACUUCAAGAACGGCACAAAGAACUCCAGCCCGGACUUGCAUGCCAGGUCUGGCAUCUCGUAUCGUCUGCUGGCAUGUCUGCUCACGUAUGUCGUCACGGUGUGGACCAUUCUCACGUCUUAAAGUUCACAUCGUGAGUCGCACUAGGACUGUGCCAGGUUUUCUGACAAAUAACAAAAACAUUGCCAAAUUUCUCUGACAAAAAACUAGAACAUUGCCAGGUUUUCUGACAGUGUUCCAUAAAAAGUGCCAUAUUUUAUAACACAACGCUUGGCAUUAACCAGAAUUCUAAAACGAAUUCCGAUUUAUGAUUUAUCAUUGAUUCUACGAUGAACACUUACGAUGUAUAGGUGCUUCUAUAUUUCUGCCGAACUGGACGAUUCCACUGAUAUUUUCAUGUAUGCCUAUUUGUCUCAUUGCACAAAUUGUGUGAAAUGUUCAGUAUUUGCUUACAUUGACAAGGGAUAUAUUUGUUUUAAAAAAAAACUUUUAAAUUAGAAUGCCAUAUCAGACUUCUACUGUAAAUACCAGCCUUUGUCAAUGAGAAUUGUUUCAACCUUCUGCAUACAGGUCCAGUAUGUCUGUGAUAGAACCAUGUAGGGUUAGAGCGGAU